CAGCAGUGAGGAAUAUUGGUCAAUAGCCUAACGGCUGAACCAGCAACUUGGAGGAAUGUAUAGCUAAAGCUAAACGUAUUUUGUAAAAAUACAGAUUCGAUUUACUCGUAUAAAGUUCUAGAUAGGAUUAUGAUAAUGACAUUGCCUAUCUAUAUGUCUUGACCAAAUUACGUGCCAGCAGUCGCGGCAAGACGUAAAAGACUAGUGUUAUUCAUCUUUAAUAGGUUUAAAGCGUACCUAGACGGUAAAUAAAGCCUUAACCGGGACUAAUUUAACUAGAGUUAGAUGUAAGGGUGCAUUAACGUACUGUUGAGUGUAGAGAUGAAAUUCUGUUAUACCAGAUUAUUGGCACGGGUUUAGGCGAAAGCAUCGCCUUAUGUAAUAACUGACGUUGAGGGACGAAGGCUUUGUGUCGCGAACAGGAUUAGGUACCCCAGUAGUCUAAGCAGAAAAUGAUGAGUGUCAUAGGUUAAAUAUUAUUUG
Molecule: ribosomal RNA, 483 nt
Filed under: Collema ligerinum
Lineage: Eukaryota; Fungi; Ascomycota; Lecanoromycetes; Peltigerales; Collemataceae
Description: SSU rRNA
Rfam family: Bacterial small subunit ribosomal RNA
Source: RNAcentral